Molecule: ribosomal RNA, 975 nt
Filed under: Gangesia oligonchis
Lineage: Eukaryota; Metazoa; Platyhelminthes; Cestoda; Proteocephalidea; Proteocephalidae
Description: 16S ribosomal RNA
Rfam family: Archaeal large subunit ribosomal RNA (bases 657-933)
Source: RNAcentral
UUUAUCUAGAGAUAGCUUUUUCUAUUUGUUUUUUGGUUUGUGUGCCUUUUGCAUCAUGCUUAGUGGAUUAUUUUGAAAAAUAUUCUUUAACCGAAAGCUUUGGAUCCCGUUUACGAUUGUUUAGAACUAAAUUUAGUCGGGUAGACUUUUAUAAAUCGUAGUCGUGGGGUGAUAAAUUAAUCGUCGAAGCUUAUAACUGUUUUUCGGCUUGUAUUCUUUGAUUUACUUUUUUGGCUAUGAGGUCAAUUAAGCGUAUAUAUUUAUUUUUUGAUCAGGUUAAAAUAGGGUUAAAACUACCCAUUUUUAGUAAUUUUGUUACAAAUUUGGUUAAAUUUAUUUUAUAAAUUAUAGGUAUCAGAGGCCGUUUAUUAAAAUUUUUAGAGUGUAAAUUAUCAUUAAAUAAGUAAUAAAAAAUUUUUAAUUGUUUCUCAAGUUUUGCCCGUCUGUUUAUUAAAAACAUUUCCAUACUCAUACAAUAUGUAUGGUAGUACCUGCUCUAUGUUGGAUGAUAAAUGGCCGCAGUAUCUUGACUGUGCGAAGGUAGCAUAAUUAAUUGCCUUAUAAUUGAAGGCUUGUUUGAAUGGUUUGACGCGGUAAAUACAAACAUUUGAAAAAUUUUUGAAAUUAAUGUGGAGGGCACAGAAUCCUCCUUUUUUAAUUAGACGGAAAGACCCCAGGAUCUUUCAGUUUUGUCUGGGGCAGAUACAAGUAUUUCACUUUUAUUGUGACCCGACUAGUUUGGUGAGUAAGUUACCCUGGGGAUAACAGUGUAAUAGUUUAUUAGAGGUCUUAUCGAAUAAACUGUUUGCUACCUCGAUGUUGACUUAGGUAAAUAGGCUAGGCGCAGUAGUUUAGCAUUAUGGUCUGUUCGACCAUUUAUACCUCCAUGAGUUGAGUUAAGACCGGCGUGAGCCAGGUCGGUUCUUAUCUAUUGUUGUGGCUUGCUAGUACGAAAGGAUUGCAAGUUAUUUUUUU